RNAcentral lists this long non-coding RNA (869 nucleotides) under Monodelphis domestica (gray short-tailed opossum). RNAcentral describes it as "lncRNA (ENSMODG00000049999.1)". The record is from RNAcentral. Lineage: Eukaryota; Metazoa; Chordata; Mammalia; Didelphimorphia; Didelphidae.
AUUAUUGUACCACCUACCUAACCCUCCCAGCACACAAUAAGUGUUUCAUAAAAAAGUUCAAUGAUGAACAUGUCUGAUUAAGGCAGAGAACAAAGGUACUUUUAUUUCCCUGUUCCUGGAAGCUAUACCUGUCAAUGCAAACCAAAAUUACAUUAGCCUUUUUGGCUGCCAUAUAACACUAAUGAAGCCUCAUUGAUGAGAUGAAGAAAUUGAGGUCUGGAGAGUCCACACAGAUUAUAAUAGAAUUUCCAUUCAAAUGCAGCUCUUCCAACUGUAACUGGAAUGCUACUCCAUUAGGCUUUGGGAUGCCUUAUGGGACAGGAGGGCCAGGGAAGGAGGGAAAAGCCAGAAGGAGAUGACUUGGCCACAUUUCCAUAGCUAGGAAAUAAUUUCUUUCGACCUCAGUUGUCUCAUUUAAAAUGACAAGAAUUGGACUAUAUCAUCCCUAAGUUCCCUUCCAAGUCAAGAUUUCUGUGAAAUGAGGCAAGUCAUUGAGGAUGACGACAUUUGGAAGUCAAAUUUAGAGCAUUCCUUUCGCCUGACAUAAUCUGUAUGCAAAGAACUCACUUCAGCAGAAGGCUGAGUAAAAUUGCAUUUUCUGCCUUUGUUUGGAUGGUUGAUUACAAGAGAACAUCAGCACUGGUGAAAAGAAGAGAGGUCCUGUCGGAGAGCUACUGAACCAUCUGAGAGAAGACAAGGAGUAAAUGAAAUGCAGUGAAAUGCAGAGGUGGGGGGAAUCCACUCCAGUCCUGCUCUCCAGGCUCAGAUUGUUAGAGUUAGAAGGGGCCUGGGAGAACAAGCAACAUCUUCAUUUUGAAGAUGAAGAACAGUCUCAAACAGAUAAGUGGCUUUUCAAAUUUUCACCAUAA